AGAAACCAACAGGGAUUACCUCAGUAACGGCGAGUGAAGCGGUAACAGCUCAAAUUUGAAAGCUCGCUCUUUUAGGGUGCGCAUUGUAAUUUGUAGAAGAUGCUUCGGGUGUGGCCCCGGUCUAAGUUCCUUGGAACAGGACGUCAUAGAGGGUGAGAAUCCCGUAUGUGACUGGGUGCUUUCGCUCAAGUGAAGCUCUUUCGACGAGUCGAGUUGUUUGGGAAUGCAGCUCAAAAUGGGUGGUAAAUUUCAUCUAAAGCUAAAUAUUGGCCAGAGACCGAUAGCGCACAAGUAGAGUGAUCGAAAGAUGAAAAGCACUUUGGAAAGAGAGUUAAACAGUACGUGAAAUUGUUGAAAGGGAAGCGCUUGCAACCAGACUUGCGCGCUGGUGAUCAUCCGGGCUUCUGUCCGGUGCACUCGCCAGCGCUCAGGCCAGCAUCGGUUUCGGUGGUGGGAUAAAGGCCUUGGGAAUGUAGCUUCUUUCGGGGAGUGUUAUAGCCCUCGGUGCAAUGCCGCCUACUGGGACCGAGGACCGCGCUUCGGCUAGGAUGCUGGCGUAAUGGUUGUAAGCGACC
RNAcentral lists this ribosomal RNA (575 nucleotides) under Phialophora foetens. RNAcentral's name for it is "eukaryotic LSU rRNA". It matches the Rfam family "Eukaryotic large subunit ribosomal RNA", at positions 60 to 649 of the family's 3401-position model. Lineage: Eukaryota; Fungi; Ascomycota; Eurotiomycetes; Chaetothyriales; Herpotrichiellaceae. The record is from RNAcentral.